RNAcentral lists this ribosomal RNA (440 nucleotides) under uncultured bacterium. RNAcentral's name for it is "partial 16S ribosomal RNA". It matches the Rfam family "Bacterial small subunit ribosomal RNA", at positions 338 to 795 of the family's 1533-position model. The record is from RNAcentral.
CCUACGGGUGGCAGCAGUGGGGAAUAUUGCACAAUGGGGGAAACCCUGAUGCAGCGACGCCGCGUGAGUGAAGAAGUAAUUCGUUAUGUUAAGCUCUAUCAGCCGGGGAGAAAAUGACGGUACCUGUGUAAGAAGCCCCGGCUAACUACGUGCAAGCAGCCGCGGGAAUACGUAGGGGGCAAGCGUUAUCGGGAUUUACUGGGUGUAAAGGGAGCGUAGACGGCAGUGCAAGUCUGGAGUGAAAGUCGGGGGCUCAACCCCCGGACUGCUCUGGAAACUGUACGGCUGGAGUGCAGGAGAGGUAAGUGGAAUGCGUAGUGUAGCGGUGAAAUGCGUAGAUAUUAGGCGGAACACCAGUGGCGAAGGCGGCUUACUGGACUGUAACUGACGUUGAGGCACGAAAGCGUGGGGAGCAAACAGGAUUAGAUACCCCAGUAGUC